CAGGAGGAACACCGAUGGCGAAGGCAGGUCUCUGGGCAUUAACUGACGCUGAGGAGCGAAAGCAUGGGGAGCGAACAGGAUUAGAUACCCUGGUAGUCCAUGCCGUAAACGUUGGGCACUAGGUGUGGGGGACAUUCCACGUUUUCCGCGCCGUAGCUAACGCAUUAAGUGCCCCGCCUGGGGAGUACGGCCGCAAGGCUAAAACUCAAAGGAAUUGACGGGGGCCCGCACAAGCGGCGGAGCAUGCGGAUUAAUUCGAUGCAACGCGAAGAACCUUACCAAGGCUUGACAUGGGCCGGACCGGGCUGGAAACAGUCCUUCCCCUUUGGGGCCGGUUCACAGGUGGUGCAUGGUUGUCGUCAGCUCGUGUCGUGAGAUGUUGGGUUAAGUCCCGCAACGAGCGCAACCCUCGUUCCAUGUUGCCAGCGCGUAAUGGCGGGGACUCAUGGGAGACUGCCGGGGUCAACUCGGAGGAAGGUGGGGACGACGUCAAAUCAUCAUGCCCCUUAUGUCUUGGGCUUCACGCAUGCUACAAUGGCCGGUACAAAGGGUUGCGAUACUGUGAGGUGGAGCUAAUCCCAAAAAGCCGGUCUCAGUUCGGAUUGGGGUCUGCAACUCGACCCCAUGAAGUCGGAGUCGCUAGUAAUCGCAGAUCAGCAACGCUGCGGUGAAUACGUUCCCGGGCCUUGUACACACCGCCCGUCAAGUCACGAAAGUUGGUAACACCCGAAGCCGGUGGCCUAACCCCUUGUGGGAGGGAGCUGUCGAAGGUGGGACUGGUGUGUUGUGUCUAAGUCGUA
RNAcentral lists this ribosomal RNA (800 nucleotides) under Arthrobacter sp. Its description in RNAcentral is "bacterial SSU rRNA". It matches the Rfam family "Bacterial small subunit ribosomal RNA", at positions 698 to 1490 of the family's 1533-position model. Lineage: Bacteria; Bacillati; Actinomycetota; Actinomycetes; Micrococcales; Micrococcaceae. The record is from RNAcentral.